GAGCUGUCAUUACUUGAGAUGGAGGAA
RNAcentral lists this non-coding RNA (27 nucleotides) under Bombyx mori (domestic silkworm). Lineage: Eukaryota; Metazoa; Arthropoda; Insecta; Lepidoptera; Bombycidae. The record is from RNAcentral.